RNAcentral lists this long non-coding RNA (1879 nucleotides) under Capsicum annuum. Its description in RNAcentral is "long non-coding RNA (CANN_LNC020202)". The record is from RNAcentral. Lineage: Eukaryota; Viridiplantae; Streptophyta; Magnoliopsida; Solanales; Solanaceae.
AAUUCACCUUUCAACUAACCACACUUACACAUUUUCAAGUCACUACUUCACUUCUCAAGUGACCACACUUUACUAAAUUCAAAACACUUCAUCUCUCAAGUGACUACAUUACUCUUAAUCAAUUUCAAGUAACAAGUUUACAUUUCAAAACAUGAGUCUUAAUCAAUUUCAAGUAACGAGUUUACAUUUAUAGUCCCUAGACUUAAACAUUUUCAAAACACAAGUUCACAUUCUCAAAUAACUACACACAAUAAUUUUCAAAACACAAGGUCACCUUUCAAAUAACUAAGUUCAAAACAUAAGUCACCAAUUCACUUCUCAAGUGACUACAUUACUCUUAAUCAAUUUCAAGUAACAAGUUUACAUUUCAAAACAUUAUUCUUAAUUAAUUUCAAGUGACUAAUUUACAUUUAAAGUCCCUAGACUUACCCAUUUUCAAAACACAAGUUCACAUCCUCAAAUAACUAUACAUAAUCAUUUUCAAAACACAAGGUCACCUUUCAAAUAACUAAGUUCAAAACAUAAGUCACCAAUUCACUUCUCAAGUGACUACACCUGAUCAUUAUCAAAUCAUUUAUUCACUUCUCGAGUGACCACACUUUACUAAAUUCGAAACACAAGAUCACCUUUUAAGUAACUACAUUCAAACAUUUUCAAGUCACUAAUUCACUUCUCAAGUGACCACACUUAACUAAAUUCAAAACAAAAGUUCACCUUUCAACUGACCACACUUGAAAAUUUUCAAAUCACCACUUCACUUCUCAAGUGACCACACUUAAAUAAAUUCAAAAACCAAAUUCACCUUUCAACUAACCACACUUAAAACAUUUUUAGGUCACUAUUUCACUUAUCAAGUGCCCACACUUAACUAAAUUCAAAACAAAAGUUCACCUUUCAACUAACCACACAUAAACAUUUUCAAAUCACUACUUCACUUCUCAAGCGACCAUAAUAAACUAAAUUCAAAACAAAAAUUCACCUUUCAACUAACCACAAUUAAAAUAUUUUCAAGUCACUAAUUCACUUCUCAAGUGACCACACAUAACUAAAUUCAAAACACAAAUUCAACUUUCAACUAACCACACUUAAACAUUUUCAAGUCACUACUUCACUUCUCAAGUGACCACACUUUACUAAAUUCAAAACACAAGUUCAUCUCUCAAGUGACUACAUUAUUCUUAAUCAAUUUCAAGUAACUAGUUUACAUUUCAAAACAUGAUUCUUAAUCAAUUUCAACUAACUAGUUUACAUUUAAAGUCCCUAGACUUAACCAUUUUCAAAAUGCAAGUUCAUAUUCUUAAAUAACUACACCUAAUAAUUUUCAAAACACAAGGUCACCUUUCAAAUAACUAAGUUCAAAACACAAAUCACCCCUCAAGUGACUACAUUAUUCUUAAUCAAUUUCAAGUAACUAGUUUACAUUUUAAAACAUUAUUCUUAAUUAAUUUCAAGUAACUAAUUUACAUUUAAAGUCCCUAGACUUUACCAUUUUCAAAAUGCAAGUUCACAUCCUUAAAUAACUACACAUAAUCAUUUUCAACACAUAAGAUCACCUUUCAAAUAACUAAGCUCAAAUUACAAGUCACCAAUUCACUUCUCAAGUGACUACACUUGAACAUUAUCAAAUCAUUAAUUCACUUCUCAAGUGAUCACAUUUAACUAAAUUUAAAACACAAAUUCACAUUUCAACUAACCACACUUAAACAUUUUCAAGUCACUACAUCACUUCUCAAGUGAUCAUACUUAACUAAAUUCAAAAAACAAAUUCACCUUUCAAUUAACCACACUUAAACAUUUUAAAGUCGUUAUUUCACUUCUCAAGUGACCACACUUUACUAAAUUCAAAACACAAGUUCACCUUAAUCAAUUUCAAGUAACU